Rattus rattus (black rat) is the source of this 556-nucleotide long non-coding RNA. RefSeq lists it as uncharacterized. The record is from RefSeq and is a predicted model, not a curated record. Lineage: Eukaryota; Metazoa; Chordata; Mammalia; Rodentia; Muridae. The transcript has 2 exons.
GGUAGCUUCCGUGGCUUUGUUUAAAGGAAAAAAGAACAAGAACAGACUCGGGUCCUACGCACAGUCCUUAUCCCGGUCCCUGGCAGUAGUGAGCAUCAUGGCUGGUUUCCGCAGCUGCCUCCAGCGCGCACCUGGGGCCGGAGUCCCCUGUGAUCCUAGCAGGCUCUGAGCCAUCUCUAGGGACGCUUGCAGGGGAAGUGACAAAGUGACUGAAAGACUCACUGGGCUGGACUCAGCAAAGAGAGGUGGCUGGGCAGGGACUACACAAACUCUCUCCACCUCACCCCCAGUGAGAACCUGCAGCUAUGGAGUCUCCAACAAAGGAAAUUGAAGAAUUCGAGAGCAACUCUCUGAAACACCUGCAACCCGAGCAGAUCGAAAAAAUCUGGCUUCGGCUCCGCGGGCUGAGGAAAUAUAAGAAAACGUCCCAGAGGUAAGCACAUCUUUCUGGGAGAGAAGAACCUUCUGGGCUAUGGUUGGCUGAGCUGUGAUUCAGCUCUUCCCAGCUUUGGCCUGUGGUACACUGGAAUUGUAAUAAACAGUCCUUGAGCUCUCA